Long non-coding RNA from Ursus americanus (American black bear), 281 nucleotides. The record is from Ensembl. NCBI's taxonomy places the organism in Eukaryota, Metazoa, Chordata, Mammalia, Carnivora, Ursidae.
CCGGAGAGAGGCCUUGUAGGCACAGCUGCUGAGCCUCGAUCGGCUCCGAGUAGGGGCUCCUGCCCGGGUUGGAGCUCGGGGGUCCACAGCCGCCGACCCGCGCCUGCCUCCUCCCAGCGCCCGGGCCGACGAAAUGACCAUUAAGAAGUAGAUGCCCAGAUGCAAAAGUGAUGAAACAGUCAAUUUGUCAUAAAGUAAGAUGCAGCUGUGGCUUUUCAACCAGAUUAGAACAGAAUUGUAUCUAUUUUUCUCAGAAGAGAAUUCCACAAGGUAAGAAAUUG